UCUGAGUGAGAAUGUUCCAGGAUUCUGCCUGCUGUACUUUUCAGCUCAUCCUGAUCAGGAAAAAGGAGGGAAAAAUGAGGAACUAAUUGAGAUAUCCCUAGAGAAGUUCUUAGUAUUCGAAGCUUUCCAUUUUUGCAAACUACCUGACAUUUAUAGCCACAGUCUCCUCAAAUGAAUGAGAAUCUAGAGGUCAUGGUUAUGUCAUAAGGGUCUCGUCUCAGGAAGAGGUUCCAGCGAACUGAACUGGCCAAAUGACUUUUAAGCCAGCACCCUCAUGGCCUUCAGCAUCCUCCUACAGGAAGUGGUGUAACCCAACAUCCUGAGCACAGACAUGCUAUAACAUGUGCAGGUAAUGGAAUGAGAAGAGGAGAGGCUGUACUGUGUUAUGUGGCAGCAUCCCCUUUUCAGAAGGCACAGUCAGCACAUGGUACUGUCACCCAUCAACUUCCCGAGGACCUUCUCUGCAGCAGGGAUGCCACUGCUGACUCUGCCCCAAGUCCUGGGCAGCCAUCUCCCAUGAACUUUCUCCCUGUGGCUUUCUGCACCCUGUUGCUACCACAAGCCACCAAGGAAGCCAGAGAAACACUGCUGUACUUUAAAGGAUGUGCUAAUAUGCGGGUUCAUGUCACUGUGCUGGUACAGGGUUGACAACCAAUUUAUAUGCUAAAUACAAGGCAAAGACACACUGUAACACCCAGAGGAAAUGAGCUGACUGGAAUGUGGUGUGCCUGGAGUUUAUGGUGGCACCCAUCGAGCAGAGAGCUUUCAGUUACCCUGGCUAAUAGAGCAAAUGCUACAGAAUAAUGAUAAAGAUGCUCUGGACCACACACUAAAAUAUUUACAGGAUGUUAAGGGAAGUCCCUCUUUCUGAGUAUACUACUUGAAUACACUCAUCCUUCACAUAUAAAAUGCAGUAAACUAUACAAUUCUGUACAGGAACAAACUGGCCUUGCAUAACCACCUCCACUUGCAACAUUUUCCAUUCCUUCCACUGACUGACUUUAGUCUAGGAUGUUGGUCCAAGCUCCAGAACUUCACGGUGAUAAGCUGAGGGGUGGCCCCUCAGAGAUUCCCACAUCCUGAUCCCAGGAACCUGUGGAUAUGUUAUGUUGCUUGGCAAAAUAGACUUUGCAGAUGGGAUUAAGUCAAAAUUCUUGCGACAGGGAGAAUAUCUUGAAUCGUCUGGGUGGGCCAUAUAAUCACAAGAGUCCUUAUAAGAAGGAGACAGGAAGGUUAGAGUAGGAGGGAGAUGUGACCAUGGAAGUAGAGGUCAGAGUGUCCAGGACUGUCAGCCAAGAAAUGCAGUCUCUUGCAGCUGGAAAAGGCAAAGAAAGGAUUUUAUCCUAGAUUCUCCAGAAGGAAUGCAGCCAUGCAGACCCAUUUUAGAGCUGUGUUGCUAUAAGCCAGUGAAUUUGUGGUGAUUUGUUUUAUCAGCCUCAGGAAGCUGAUACAUCAGAGUAGGGUAUGCAGGGCAUUCUGUACUGUCUGUACUAGCAAGCUGUAAAUGGGCAUAGACAUCAAAAUAGCAAUACAAUUCUUACCAGCUCCUAAUCAUAUGAAUUACACAGAAAAUGAAUAAAAGUAACAACAGCCAAGUAGAGAUUUAAACUCUCUUAUAUUAGUUUUUGGGAUAUUUUUAAAAAGUAAUUUCUGAUCUUAGGCUCCAA
Long non-coding RNA from Nyctereutes procyonoides (raccoon dog), 1667 nucleotides. RefSeq lists it as uncharacterized. NCBI's taxonomy places the organism in Eukaryota, Metazoa, Chordata, Mammalia, Carnivora, Canidae. The record is from RefSeq and is a predicted model, not a curated record. The transcript is spliced from 3 exons.